AGUUUAUAAGGGAGUCAGAGGGGCUUGUCCAGCAAUCAUUUCCCUACCCUCCACUGUUGGAGAGGGAGGUCAUUUUGGUCUCUGACCACCUUUUUCUUUUCUUUUAUUUUUGAUUUAUUUUUCAUCUCCACUUGGAAUGCUGGUCUAUCCAUACUGAGCCUACUGAUUAGGAGUGUUGUGAUACCUCAUAUCCAUUCUUGGCUGCUGACACUUUUUAUGUGAAUACGUUUGUUAUUUCACACACCCCUCAUGGUCUUGGAGCCCUCUGGGAGUGGGGGAGACCUAUGGGCAUUUAGCAUACCAUCUGACUUGGCCGCAUUGGAUCCGGCGCACACACAGGCUCUCUGGGGACGAUCUGGGCACUCCAAGCUUGGGAGAGGAAAAACCUCACUGCUAAUGUUCCCUGAAGAAGGAUGUAUUACUAAAAGUAUUUGAA
Long non-coding RNA from Rana temporaria (common frog), 436 nucleotides. RefSeq lists it as uncharacterized. The record is from RefSeq and is a predicted model, not a curated record. NCBI's taxonomy places the organism in Eukaryota, Metazoa, Chordata, Amphibia, Anura, Ranidae. The transcript has 3 exons.